This is an RNA transcript of Colossoma macropomum (tambaqui), 1750 nucleotides long. It is a transcript of the gene named gastrula zinc finger protein XlCGF7.1-like, with no coding region annotated. Lineage: Eukaryota; Metazoa; Chordata; Actinopteri; Characiformes; Serrasalmidae. The record is from RefSeq and is a predicted model, not a curated record. The transcript is spliced from 4 exons.
AAAGAAGAAGAGCUGUUACCAGUAGUCCACAGUGUUAUUAGAGACAGAAACAGGAGCUUCUCUGCUGAAGAAAGGAUUGACCUCCUGUUGCAAGUCUUCCCCUGCUCUUGCCUUCCUACGCAGUCCUAAUUUACUUUCACAAACACAUCAAGUAACACCACCAGAAGGAAUAUGUCACAGUAAUUAAAUGUGAGAAUAUGGUGUCCACAAGCUCCAGCACUCGGAAAACUAUCCACAGUAACACAUCCUGCAGACAAUCACAAAAAAAUAUUGGCAAAGAGAGAACUCACCUUUGCUCAGAUUGUGGAAAGAGUUUUGUUGACAGACAUACUCUCCAAAUUCACCAGCGCAUUCACACAGGAGAGAAACCGUAUUACUGCUCAGAGUGUGGGAAGAGUUUUAGAGAGAGCGGUACCCUCAGAUCACACCAGCGCAUUCACACAGGGGAAAAACCACAUCACUGCCCAGAGUGUGGGAAGAGUUUUACUAGACAGAUUUACCUCCAGACACACCAACGCAUUCACACAGGAGAGAAACCGUAUCAGUGCUCAGACUGUGGACAGUGUUUUACUAGACAAAUUUAUCUCCAGCUACACCAGCGCAUUCACACAGGAGAGAAACCGUAUCACUGUUCAGACUGUGGGAAGAGUUUUACUAGACAAAGUAAUCUCCAACAACACCAGCGCACUCACACAGGACAGAAACCGUAUUACUGCUCAGAAUGUGGGAAGAGUUUUAAUCAACAUAUUUCUCUGCUACAGCACCAGCGCAUUCACACAGGAGAGAAACCAUAUCACUGUUCGGAGUGUGGGAAGUGUUUUACUAGACAGAGUAAUCUCCAAGUACACCAGCGCAUCCACACAGGAGAGAAACCCUAUCAAUGCCCAGAGUGUGGACAGAGUUUUACAAGACAGAGUCACCUCCAGACACACCAGCGCAUUCACACAGGAGAGAAGCCGUAUCACUGCUCAGAGUGUGGAAGGAGUUUUAAUCAACAGAUUUCUCUGCAACAGCACUGGCGUACUCACACAGGAGAGAAACCCUAUCAGUGUUCAGACUGUGGAAAGAGUUUUACCAGACAGAUUAAUCUCCAAACACACCGGCGCAUUCACACAGAAAGUAGAGAGCUGAAAACCGAAGAGGCCUGGUCAACUUGUUAACAUCUUUGUGGAAAAAAAAAGUGUUCUCAAUAAACAUCCAAGCCUCCUUCUAAGCCCACAGCCUUGACGUCUCAGAAAGCUGAAGUGUCGUCUUCUGAGAAACAAACAGCACCACAACCAACUCUGCAGUGGAAAGGCAAAAGGGGCCAUUUUUAAAACAUCCAUCUGAACUAUGCAGUGUUUGCUGUGUGGCAUGUCAGCCUACAUCCUAGCUUGUCCUCUUCACUUCAUCACAUUGGUCCUCACAAAUUACAGGGUGUAAGUGCUAAACACCUCUCCUCAGUAGCCUCCACGUGUUUGUUCUACACUGUGUAAAGUUGUAUGCAGACCAGAUCUUGUAUACAGAUUCCUUACGAUCUUACACACACACUUUCGCACUCUUAUGAAAUCUGUUAAUAGGCCUAUCUGAUCUUUUUUAGACUGAAUUUUAUUCCAGUGGUGUAGUGGUGUUUCUACAGGCGUAUAUACUACGAUUUGUUUAAGGGAUUCCCAACCUAAUGUGCUAAUUCACUGUUUUUGAGUGAAAUAGUUUGUGCUGUGUCUUGGCUAGUACCAUUACUGAGGUAACAGAAAAUUAGCAUUAGUGGAGU